UUUUUUUUUUUUGCUUUUAUUUUAUUUUAUUAUUAUUUUCCCAAUACAUUUUUUUUUCUACUGUACAGCAUGGUAACCCAGUUACACAUACAUGUACACAUUCUAUUUUCUCACAUUAUCAUGCUUCAUCAUAAGUGACUAGACAUCACUGAUUAUUAGAGAAAUGAAAAUCAAAACUACCAUGAGAUACCACCUCACACCAGCCAAUCAGAAUGGCCAUCAUUAAUAAGUCCACAAAUAACAAAUGCUGUGUCACAAGACAUGUUUCUUUGAAAACUUCAUCUUGUUCUUCUUUACUUUAUCCCAUAUUCAUUCUUUACUUUAUCCAAUCUUGCUGCUUGAAAAAGUCACAGUGCUGGUAAAUGACUUAAGCUUAAGAACAAAGACUGUUAUGUGCCUAAAGGUCAGAGUAAAAGCUUAACCUUUUACCAGCUGAGUGGCUUUUAAAAUAAUAAAAGAACUUAUAUAAUAGUAAACAAACCCUAUAUCAUCCAUCCAUAGCCACUCCUCACUUGAUCUUAUCUAAAGAGCACAGUAAAAGUGGUGUGGUUUCUUGAGGCAGUGCUCUUGGUCCCUGAGACCUUGAGUCCCCUGGUUCCCAUCUUUACUGUCUCUGUGUCUUGUUUUAUGUUAACUUUUUUCUUAAGUUCCACAGCACCCGUUCUUCAGCCCCAUCCUGCUGAGCUGGUCUCAGCAAUGCUGGAAGGGGUGUGGAGAAAAGGGAACCCUCCUGCACUGCUGGUGAGAAUGUAAGCUGGUAAAACCACUAUGGAGAACAGUAUGGAGGUACCUUAGAAAUCUAUACAUAGAAUUACCAUAUGAUCCAGCUUUCCCACUCUAGGGCAUAUAUCCAGACAAAACUUUCCUUAAAAAGGACACAUGCGCCCACAUGUUCAUUGCAGCAAUAUUUUCUCCCAUUCUGUAAGUUGUCUUUUUGUUUUCCUUUCGGUUUUCUUUGCUGUGCAAAAGCUUGUCCAUUUGAUUACGGCCCAUUGGUUUAUUUUUGCUCUUAUUUCUGUUGCUUUGGGAGAAUGACCUGAGAAAAUAUUUGCCAGGUUUAUGACAGAGAAUGUUUUGUCUAUGUUCUUUUCCAGGAAUUUGAUGGUGUCUUGUCUUACAUUUAAGUCUUUCAGGCAUUUUGAGUUUAUUUUUGUGCAUAGUGUAAGGGUGUGUUCUAGUUUUAUUGAUUUGUAUGCCACUGUCUAGGUUUCCCAGCAAUGCUUGCUCAAAAGACUGUCUUUUUCCCAUUUUAUAUUCUUGCCUCCUUUGUCAAAGACUAAUUGACCACAGGAGUCUGGGCUUAUCUGCGUUCUCCAUUCUGAUCCAUUGGUCUGUAUUUGGUACCAGUACCACACCAUCUUAAUGACUGUUGAUUAGUAAUAUUGCCAGAUGUCUGGGAAAGUUAUGCAUCCUGCUUGGGUUUUGUUCCUCAGAAUUGCUUUGGCAAUUCUGGGUCUUUUGUAGUUCCAUAUAAAUGGUUGGAUUAUUUGUUCUAGUUCUGUGAGAAAUGUCUAGGGUAAUUGGAUAGGGAUUGCACUGAAUCUGUAGAUUGCUUUUGGUAGUAUGGCCAUUUUUACAAUAUUAAUUUUUCCAACCCAGGAGCAUGGGAUACCUUUCCAUUUCAUUACAUCUUCUUUAAUUUUCUUAAUGUUUUAUACAUCUCAGCAUAUAAGUAUUUUACCUCCUUGAUCAGGUGUAUUCCCAGGUAUUUGAUUUUGGGGGGUGCAAUUUUAAAAGAUAUUGUAUUUUUGUAUUCCUUUUGUUAGUAUACAGAAAUGACUGAUUUCUGAAUGUUAGUCUUAUAUCCUGCUACUUUGCUGAAUCUAUUAAUCAGUUCAAGUAGUUUUUGCUUUGAGUCCUUAGGCUUUUCUGUAUGUAGUAUCAUGUCAUCUUCAUACAGUGACAGUUUUACCUCUUCUCUUCCUAUUUGAAUGCCUUUUUAUUACGUUUGUUUGAGUGACUGCUGUGGCUAGGACUUCCAGUACUGUGUUGAAUAACAAUGGUGAGAGUAGGCAUCCUUGUCUUUUUCCAGAUUUUAGUGGGAAGGUUUCAGCUUUUCUCCAUUGAGUAUUAUAUUGGCUGUGGGUUUGUCAUAAAUGGCUUUGAUUAUGUUCCUUCUAUACCCACUUUGGUAAGAGUUUGUAUCAUGAAUGGAUGUUGGACUUUGGCAAGUACUUUUUCUGCAUCUAUUGAGAUGAUCAUGUGGUUUUUAACUUUUCUUUUGUUAAUGUGUUGUAUGAUAUUGAUUGAUUUGUGUAUGUUGAACCAACUUUGUGAACCUUGGAUGAAUCCCACAUGUUUGUGGUGUAUGAUCUUUUUUAUAUAUUGUUAGAUUCAGCUGGCUAAAAUUUGGUUGAGAAUUUUUGCAUCUAUAUUCAUCAAAGAUAUUGGCCUAUAGUUUUCUUUGUUGGUAGUAUCUUUGUAUGGUUUGUGUAAUAGGGUGAUGGUGGCAUCUUAGAAUGGGAGUAUUCCUUUUUCUUCAACGUUUUGAAAAAGUUUAAGGAGGAUGGGUAUAAGUUCGUCUUUGUAUGUUUGGUAGAAUUCACCUAUGAAGCCAUCUGGCCCUGGACUUUUAUUUGUAGGGAUGUUUGUUGUAGGUAUAUGGUUUCUCCUACAUCAGGGGCAAAUAUCUUGACCAUUGUAAUAGCCUUUUCUUGAAUGGAUCCUUUUACCAUCAAAUAGUCUCCUUCUUUGUCCUUCUUUAUGUCCUUUUUUUUAAAGUCUAUUUUGUUGGAUAUGAGUAUUGCAACUCCUGCUUUCCUGUCGUGUCCAUUGGCAUGAAAUAUCUUUACCUACCCCCUCGCUUUCAAUUUAUAUGUGUCAUUUGCUCUAUGGUGAGUCUCUUGUAGGCAGAAGAUUGAAGGUUUUUGCUUUUUUAUCCAAUCAGCCACUCUG
RNAcentral lists this long non-coding RNA (2895 nucleotides) under Sus scrofa (pig). Its description in RNAcentral is "lncRNA (multiple genes)". The record is from RNAcentral. Lineage: Eukaryota; Metazoa; Chordata; Mammalia; Artiodactyla; Suidae.